Non-coding RNA from Macaca mulatta (Rhesus monkey), 1883 nucleotides. Lineage: Eukaryota; Metazoa; Chordata; Mammalia; Primates; Cercopithecidae. The record is from RefSeq and is a predicted model, not a curated record.
UAGGUUUCUCCUUAUUCUCUAAGACACUCAGUAUUGCCUGGACGAGGAACGCCCUACACAGUGUCCGCCAAAGGCUGACUGUCAUCCCACUGUCAUUUGAGGAUAAGAGUUUCUCGGGCCCUUGGAGCCCACCGCAGCAAGGGCAGGCUGCCCCUGCUCGCCACCACCUGCCUUCCCGGUGGUUCCGGCUGGGCUCACCUGACCACCUCCGUCUCCAGGGAAAGGCCCAAGGGACUCAGGGGCAAGAGGACCCUUGCCAGGGAGCAGUGGCACCUCGGGGCCUCCCAUUCCAGCCCCACUCCCUUCAUGGCUCUGUCCACCUCACCAUCCCUCCUGUGCCUGAAGGAACCGCCUCUCACCCACCUCCACCUCAGCGCUGCUGCUGGGCUACUCCGGACCCUGUUCCUGUCUCUCCCCACUUUCUUUUCCUAGAAAAUGGAGGGUGAGAACCCGGCAACUGGCAGGGACAGGCUGAGGAAAAUGGGAGGCAGCCCCGCCGAACCCUGGGGGGUGACCACAGGCAGCCAGAGGGCCUGCAGAUGCCACUCUCCUGGGGAAGGGUCCCUCCAUCUCACUGCAGAGGGGCCUGGGCCAAGUCAGGGGUGACUCCAAGUCAGGGGAGCUGACUGGGAAGAGAGGCUUGGGGAGAAGACAGGGAAGUGUGUCUGGAGGGCAGGGCUUACAAAGUGACAAGUUACAGGCUAUUUUUGGUUCCUGGGGCUGCCCUGAGACCCCAGGCCACAGCCUUAAUGGCCAUCACAGGCAGCUCCCCUGUGGGCCUGGGAUUUGGGACCGCAACCCUGGACACUGCCCUGCACUCUCCAAGCCGGUUUUCCCAGCAAAGCCACAGGUCACUCUCAGGGCUGGAGCUCCCACAGAGCCCCAGGUCAUGGGAUUCUGAAGAAGAGAAUCCCCCUGCCAGGACUUGGCUAGGGGGGUCCAGGGCCUCAGGGACAGCCCCUCCCACCCAGCCCUGAGUCAUGCACUUGUACCCAGCUAGGUUCCAGAAAGGGCUGCAGGGACAAACACUGGCCGGACACUGGUGGACCUGUGGCCUCCUGAGUGGCCCAGCUUCUGUGGCCUCUGGUGACCUCAUCUGUGAAAUGGCAACCAGGGGCCUGAGAGCAGAGGGUGAGCCAGGCCCAGGGGAGUGCCCUGUCCCCUGCCAACCCCUGCACAGCUGGUGCUUGGGCGCAGCUCUGGCCAAGUCCCCACGUACCCUUCAUCAUUUUCAACAUUUUGACCACCCCAGGUUUACAGAGGAGGAAACGGAAGGCUCAGUGAUGUCACUCACCGGGGAUCGGGGAUCGCACAGCGGGGAUCGGGGAAGUCGGGGGCGGCACACAGCCGUUGAACCCUUUGCCCGUGGUGGCGGAUCAUGGGACAUCUUGGCCUCCAUAGUCGUACAAGCCAAUUCCUCAAGAUAAAUCUCCUUUUAUAUUUGUAUAUAUGCAUAUCUUAUUGGUUCCAUUUCUCUGGAGACUCCUGACUAAUACAGGGAAUUAACAGGAGGUACAACAGAGCCAAAACUGCAAGGCAUGGAGCCCAGGCAUGCACAAUGGAACAAGCUUUGACCUCUAACAAUACCCAGAACCAAUGACUCCUCCCCUCAGAACCAAGACGACCAGGACAGGACUGGAACCUGAACAUGGAAAUCUUUCAGAAGCAGGGAUCCGUUGGCCUGGGAGACUGGGGCUCAAAUCUGCCUUGACAAUCCUUUCCAUAAUGGUUAAAUUUGAAGCCCCACAAUCAGACCCUGCCAAGCCAACACUGCUAAAUCAUUUCCCUUGCCCUCUGGUCCCUUAAAGCUUGCCCCAGACCUCAAACUGGGGAGACAGAUUUGAGCCCCACUCCUGCCUUCUUGCUGGUCAGUUUUGCAAUAA